GGUGCCGAUUCCGUGGAUGCUCGGGCCCGGUAGCACCCACGGAAAAUGAUGAGCAUCCAGUGUCGGCGCUCAGGGCAGCAGGCCCAGGGCACCGUACAGCACGGACAGCACAGCGGCAGCAGCACACUACAGCCCUGGGAGCUGCCUGUAUUCCCGGAUGUGGCUCCCAAUCCCCACUGCCCUGGAGCAAAGGUGCCGGAGAAUAGGCACGGACCAGUUAACAUCCUAGGUGCGGAUUGGCCAAAGCUCCUCACUGGGAAGAUUUUGGCAUUUGGCCCCGUCCCCCUGUUUGAUCACUCUCGUUAGAUGGACAUUUACUACCUGCCGUCGGCUCUGCACCUCCUGCUAUGGGAUGGGAAACUGGAAGAAAAUCCUGUAAAUCUUCUGGGGGAUGAUGUGAAACAUAAAAGAAAACACAGAACAUGGAGAUCCUCGUAUAAUACUGUUAGAGUGGGAGAUUGUGGAUUGCAUUUGGAAACCCCCCUCUAGAAAUCCUGUGUUUGCCACUGACUUACCGGCUGGUGUGCAGUACAGAACCCCACCUCACUCACACUCCACCAGCACAAGCGUGUAGCAGUGAGUAUGCCUGUACCUAUUAUACGUCAAUAAACCAUUACCACUGGUUAGGUGUCUGGGCGGCUUAUAGUUUGCUGCAUCCCCUGGUGUGUGCCUACAGUAUAUAACUCCACAAGCAGCAACA
This is a long non-coding RNA of Pseudophryne corroboree (corroboree frog), 700 nucleotides long. RefSeq lists it as uncharacterized. The record is from RefSeq and is a predicted model, not a curated record. Lineage: Eukaryota; Metazoa; Chordata; Amphibia; Anura; Myobatrachidae. The transcript is spliced from 3 exons.